GUGCCGGCAGCCGCGCGGUAGUACGGAAGGUCCUAGCGUUGUUCGGAAUUACUGGGCGUAAAGCGCAUGUCCGCGGAACAGAAAGUUAGAAGUGAAAUCCCUGGGCUCAACCUAGGAAUUGCUUUUAAAACUUCUGUUCUGGAAUUCAUGAGAGGAAAAUGGAAUUUCCAGUGUAGAGGUGAAAUUCCUAGAUUUUGGAAGGAACACCAGUGGCGAAGGCGAUUUUCUGGACUGAUAUUGACGCUGAGAUGCGAAGGCAUGGGUAGCAAACGGGAUUAGAUACCCCGGUAGUCCAUGCAGUAAACGAUGGGUGCUAGUCGUCGGACUUUUGUUCGGUGUCGUAGCUAACGCGUUAAGCACCCCGCCUGGGGAGUACGGUCGCAAGAUUAAAACUCAAAUAAAUUGACGGGGACCCGCACAAGCAGUGGAGCAUGGGGUUUAAUUCGACGCAACGCGAAGAACCUUACCAGCGUUUGACAUGGAAAGUGCCGGUUACAGAAUGGUAACCUUCAGUUCGGCUGGCUUUCGCACAGGUGCUGCAUGGCUGUCGUCAGCUCGUGUCGUGAGAUGUUGGGUUAAGUCCCGCAACGAGCGCAACCCUUAUCGUUAGUUACUAACAGUUCGGCUGAGGGCUCUGGCGAAACUGCCGGUGAUAAGCCGGAGGAACGUGGGAAUGACGUCAAGUCCUCAUGGCCCUUACACGCUGGGCUACACACGUGCUACAAUGGUAACUACAACUGCACGCACUACCGCGAGGUGGAGCUAAUCCCCUGAGUUAUCUCAGUUCAGAUUGCACUCUGCAACUCGAAUGCGUGAAGUUGGCAUUGCUAGUAAUCGCGGAUCAGCAUGCCGAGAUGAUAGCUACUCGGGUCUGCACACACCGUCCGUCAAUCCUAUGACUAGUAGAU
RNAcentral lists this ribosomal RNA (908 nucleotides) under uncultured bacterium. RNAcentral describes it as "bacterial SSU rRNA". It matches the Rfam family "Bacterial small subunit ribosomal RNA", at positions 505 to 1417 of the family's 1533-position model. The record is from RNAcentral.